CAGCAUAUCCAAAAACUCAUCUG
RNAcentral lists this microRNA (23 nucleotides) under Plutella xylostella (diamondback moth). Its description in RNAcentral is "pxy-miR-8507-3p". Lineage: Eukaryota; Metazoa; Arthropoda; Insecta; Lepidoptera; Plutellidae. The record is from miRBase by way of RNAcentral.